Long non-coding RNA from Helianthus annuus (common sunflower), 6407 nucleotides. RefSeq lists it as uncharacterized. The transcript has 9 exons. NCBI's taxonomy places the organism in Eukaryota, Viridiplantae, Streptophyta, Magnoliopsida, Asterales, Asteraceae. The record is from RefSeq and is a predicted model, not a curated record.
UGGCAACAAAAACCUAACCAUGAUAUUUUGGGUUAUUUUGGGCUUCUUUAAACAAGGAAGCAAGUUAGAAUGGGUUGGGGAUUUAGUCAAAAUGGGUUUUAAAAUAUCCAUCUAAAUUUUAACAUGGGCCAAGAUGGGUUUUUAACUCUCUAAUCCUAAAACACGCAUCAGACUUUUCUUUCUAUUUCUCCUUCGGAUCUGAACAAACAUCUUAUGCCUGAUCCUGCUGAUCAUUGAUUUACACUUUACUUCAUCAUGAGAAUCGUACCGGUUUGACUUUUGAAUUUGUCAACAAAUCAAUGGAGAACUACCUGUGACAUCAAUCCUCAAAAAGCACUGAACCUUUUUUUAAUUUUUUUUAAUUUUUUUAUUUUUUUAAUUUUUUAUUUUUUUUUAUUUUUUAAAUAUUUUUUUAAUUUUCUGAUUUUUUUAUUUUAAAAAAAAAUAUUUUUUUAUUUUUUUGAUUUUUUAAUUUUUUUGGAUUUUUUUAUUUAUUUAUAUUUUUAGCCUAUCAUGCCUAAAUCCAUCUCGACCUAAACUCAUCUUGACCUAAACCCAUCCUAACACAUUUCUUAAUAAACUCAUUCUAACCCAAACCUAUUCUAACCCAUACCCAUCCUAACCUAUUACCCAAACCUACCCAACCCACCCAUUUUGCCACCUCUAGUUUUACAUUGACGGUAAGUAACAUCCAAGUUAACAGAGGUUUCAAGGCAGUUUAUUCAGAUUGAUCAUGUACACGUAUAGUUUAUUAUGAGAUUACCCCUUAUUGAUUUAUUUAUAUACUAGUUUAUUGUCCUGUGUAAUACACGGGAUGAAUCAUAAUUAUAAUGUGAAAUAAAAAAAAAUAUGUUCAUAAUAUGAUCUAAGUAUAUAUAAUAUAGAGUAAUAUGCAGACUAAACAUGAAAUAAAUAUUGAAGUUUGUAUAGCCAUUCAUAAUAAUAUGAUCUGUUAAUUGUUUUAGGAUUUGUCAUAGGAACUUAAAAUUUUGUACCACUACUAAUAUUUAUUGUGACAUUUUCUUGUUCAAAGGUAACGUGUCUGAUUUUAUCUGAUAAUAGAUUAUUCUGACGAGUUAAUGUUGGCAUAAUAUUAUAUUUUCUACCAUCCAAAUAUAGUUUUCUCACUUUCGCUAUCAUUAACAUUAAUAUAAGGUAUGCUCGUAUUCAAAGCUAUAAACCAAUAUGAAUUGUACGAAAUAAUUACUUUUAUCGCAAUUAGUAAGGAAACCAAUAAAAACUAUUGAUAAUGUAAUAUGUCUUAUACCAUUUGAGAGGUAUGAAAAGGGACUUCUAAAGAGAUAAACGUAAAGUAAAUGAAUAGACAAAAAUUAAAUUAAUAAAACCAGGGUGGGGCUCGGCUACAAAGUCUAUUUUUCCUACAAAGUGUACAAAGUCAUAAAACACCAAAAUUUCAGCCAUAAAACACACUCAAAACCCACAAAUAAUAUAGUGGAGAUCACUAAAAUACAAUAUCCAAACCCCUAACAGUCCUUAAAACUUCAAACACACCAUCGUACAACUAUGAAUAUAAAACACAACAUGGUAAUCAAUAUAAAACACACUAAUGUUAGUCAUUCGAUAAUCAAAGCCUUAUCAUCCAAAACACAACACAAAACCUACAAAUAUAGUGUUUUAGUAAUUCUUCACUAUGUUAUUUGUGGUUUUUGAGUGUGUUUUAUGGUUGACAUUAUGGUGUUUUAUGACUUUUUACACUUUUUAGGAAAAAUAGACUUUGUAGCCAACUCCCACCCUAUAAAACCAAUUAACUAUAGUUGAGAAAAUACUAUGUAUAGUGUAAUACUUUACAUAUACAAUUGAACCAAUGAAACAUAUAUAUAAGUGAAAAAAUAAAAAUAAAGACAUGAGACACCAUACGACAACUAAGUAAAUCUAAAUUUAAAAAAAAAAGUUAUGACAUUCCAAAUGUGAAGAUACAUUUCACAGACCUCUACAUCUUAGUUACAAUAGGAAAAAAUAUGUAUGUUAAGAGUUUACGUUGUUCUAAAACACAUAUAUCUAACUUAUCUAAAAAUACAUGAUGUUUUCUAUGUGACAUAGAUAAUAUGCAUAUUACUUAUUUGACACGGUAAACUUAUCUAAAAAAACAUAAUGUUUUCUAUGUAACAUAGAUAAUAUGCAUAGCAUAUGAAGAGUAAAAAAACGUACCUAGUAUUUAGAAUGAAGUGGAGUAUAAUUCUAAAUACUUGAUGUAAUAUAUUGAAUAUUAAAUAAUGAUUUUUUAUAUUCUUGACAAAACUUUAAUUAUCACAAAAUCUGAUUUGAUUCUAGAAGGGAAAGUAAAACUUACGAAAUUGAUUAAAUGGUUACUAAUUUUAUGGGUUUUUGUUUAAUAAUUUCAAAUCAAAAUUAAAUCCAUAAAUUAUCUAUCUAUUUAUAAUCAAACCUUAUGAAUACUGUUUGGGGUAAUUUUUGUAAUUUAACACCUUCCUUGCUACCUGUUGUGUACAUUUAUAUAAUUUAAAAACUAAAUUAUAUAAAUGUAAUACUAUAUUAUAAACUAAAAAUUGUAAUAAAAAAUGUUAAAUGGCCACUUGAGUUUACAUUGGAUGUCACAUUUCAUACCAACCAAUGAGUUAUUAUAUGGGUAAGUUUGUUUGUUUGUUUAAUUUGUGUAUUAUUGUGCUAGCGAUUUACAACUCGAAAAAUGUUAUAGUGUUAAGUUAAAUUAUAAAAGUUGCAUCUCUUUAUAACCAAUAUAUCUAUUUUAUGUUUAUAUUAUUUUAUUCAUUUUAUAACCAAUAUAUCUAUGUUAUGUUUAUAUUAUUUUAUUCAAUAAAUAUGGUUACUUCAAUUGAAAUAAAAUUGUUUACUAAUAUAUUCACUUUAUAACCAAUAUCUAUGUUAUGUUUAUAUUAUUUUAUUCAAUAAAAAUAAAUAUGGUUACUUCAAUUGAAAUAAAUUUGUUUACUAAUAUAAAAUUUGCUAUCUCUUUUUAUUUUACGUUAUUACCAAACCUAAUGAAAGAUUUAAAUGUUAUAUUCCCAACAUAAAUACCUAUUACAUAUAAUCAUAUUUUACUAUUAUUUAUAAUUAUAAUUUCAAAAAUUUAGAGUGUUCAGAUAGAGACAAUAAAAACAAUGAUAUAUUUGAAGUCUUUGCUUGCAAUAAUGAAACAUGACUAACAAAAACAUUUAUACCGAAUUAAUUACUUUGGAAAGACGAUAAACACAGGAUUGUUUAGAUUUAAAACAUAUUUUUUAGACUUUAGAUUUACAAUGAAAAAAAAUUCUAAUAUAAUAUUUAAAUCUUUUUUAUUUAAAAUUUAAAAUUUAUCUAUAAAUUAUUGAUGCCCUCAUCGAAUGUUCCAAAUCAGAUUUCUUUUAUUAUAUAGUAUAGAUAUAGAUAUUUAAAGGCAGACAUAUAAGUUAUUGUAAAAAAAUACAUUAACAAUUUUAUAUAAUUGACAAAAAUUCAUAGACGCUGAAAACAAGAAAAUGUAAAACUCUUGGUACAUGCUCCUGCGAACAUGCUUUCAGUUAUUUCACCGAUUCUCAACCUCUCUAAAUAUUGGUGGGUGUGCAAACUACAAACACUACCAAUAAUUUGGGAAGGGUUUGAAAUUUUCUCAAUGUAUUUUUUUUUUUUUUUUUGUAAUGAACGACAUAAAAAUUUUAUUAAUUAUAGCAAGCUGCUACACAUCAUAGUUACAAAAUACACCAAUCAAAACAAACGAGUUUGUUGGAAAUUUAGUGAAAAUGAGUUUUUCACUAAAUAUUUUGAAUAUCAAUAAUAUUUAUAUAUGUGUUGUAUAAAUAAUUAUUUAUGGGAUUGUGUUCAAACUAUGUCUAAAUAGAGCUAAGAUGAAUGAGAUAUCGAAGCUUGAAGUUGUAUGUUUGGCACAAACAAAUAUGAAUAAAAUGGAUUAGUUUUGUCAACUUGUCCCACAUAGGUGGGAUGACAACUCAAAGUGGUAUAUAAGGAGGAGCAUUCCUUGUAAAUUGUUUUCCUUAAGGCAAACACUAGUGGUGACCAAAGGGUGAUGUCACACCCCCAAAAUCCACCAUGCGGAGUAUCACCGCUUGGAGGCGUGACAUGACCAGGAUCGAGCCACCAAUCAUAUUGAACAACAUAAUUAAGUAAAUAAAACCAACCACAAUAUAAUUGGUGACCUAAAGAAGGUAACCGACUUUAAGUUAACAACGGAAGCAUAAAACGUAAGUCUAAAACAUAAGUUCCAUAGUUCAUAGUCAUAGGAGCUAAGCGCACUCAAGGUGCAAAGUGCGAGCCUUUAUAUUUUAUUUCAUUACUGUUAACUUUCAUCAUAUUCAGAUUUUUUUUAAUAUCAUCGAUGCUCAUGAUUUUGAGUGAUUGUAUGAGCUUAUGAUGAACCGAAUAAACAAGAAAGGUAUUGAAUUAGUUGUUUUUUUAUCAACGUGAAUUGCUAUUAUAAUGUUUAAUAAACUGAUCUUUGUAGCUAACGAGGCCAUAUUACAAUUUAUUGCUAUUUUUUAACCUAUGAUUUUUUAAGGUGGAUUAACCAACGGUUAUAAAAACCACAUCGCAGAAAAAGAACUAACCGAUGAGACUUACAGUCUGGAUAAUGCUACUGCAAUGCAUAAUAAUAAAGUUGUUCAUCUACAUCCACUAGAGUCUCUCUUCUAUGGUUGCUGUAGUUUAUUCCAAUGAUAUCAAGUUGCAGCCGGAAACAUGGUAGCUGGGUGGGAAUAAAAUCGCUCCAACGUUUGUUCACCUUUAAUAACUUGAUAUAUCUCUAGGUCUUGCUGGAGUUCCAGCUGUGGUUGACCUUGCCUGUAUGGAAAAUGCCAUGAGCAAGCUUGGUGGAGACUCUAAGAAGACCAACCCAUUGGUCAAACCUUCAUGCUUUCACUAAAGUAGAAUCCGAAUACUUAUCAAAGUGCAUUCAAGAUGGUGGAACCGAAUAUGUAACAUUAUUUGUGGACACACAAUAGUUUGGUAUUUAGCGACAUUUAGUUCAUGUUUGCUUUGGCUUUGCUUAUAUCACAUAUGGGUUAUAUUAUACUAUGCACAUAUUUACUUAAUAUUUUAUCUUUUGGUAUUCAGUUCGUACGUUUUGUACGUUAAAUUUAUUUGUAUUUGAUCUUUUGUCAAAUCCGAUAUGAGUUUGUAGUUUCAAAGAGGAAAGAUUGGAUAAAGAUGAAGGCUUGAAACGGCAUCUUAGGUUGUUAGUUUCAAGACUUUAGGGUGCUUAAGAUGCUGAUUGCUUGCUGAAAGGGCACUUUCCAAGGCUUCCAAUGAUGAAUCUGAACAAGUUGUCAAAAAGGUUUUGUUUUCAUACUCGCAUAUUUUGUUCGUGUUAUGUUUUAAUUUGUUUCGAUCCCUAUUCAUGAUUAAUAUCCUGUUUUCAUACAUUGAAAAGUGUUUGUAUGUGGUUUGUUCUUUAGCCUGCAACUUUGGGUAUGUUUCUUGAAUUUAGAACUUGAUUUAUAAACAUUUACCUUUAGAUAAGGUGUUAACAUAAAUUUUUGACUAUUUGUAGCUAGAUUUUAUGUAUUUUGGUUCCUGCGGAAUGAAAUGGUCAAGACCGGGUUCUCCGGGUUCCGAGGAACCCGACUUCGUACUGAGGCUACUUCAACUUAAAAGAUGAAACAAGGGUUACUAAAUAAAGUUCAAUAAGCAAUCCCAAACAGCCCUCUGAAAGCAUGAUUUUUCUUUCAACAACUUAUAUCAGGAAUUAGUUACUGUCAUUCAAUGGAAAUUUGUCACGGAUAUCUUAAGCUUGAAAAUACACUGUUGGAAGCGCGACUCCUCGUGUUAAAAAUACUUAAAAUAUGUGAUUUUGGGUAUUCAAAGGUCUGCUUGAUAAGCGACGGAAAUGAGAUUUUUGAUGACGAGCGUAUGAAUUCAUUAGAAGAAGCUAAGAAGUUGGCCAUAUCCGACGGAUUGGACAGAGUUGUUCUCGAAGCAAAUGGUAUAUUCAGAAACCCUACAUCAAUAAGAGAGAUUAAAGAAUCAAAUAUUUCCCUCCUUACUUAUGGCAAAUUAAACAGUGUCCCCGAAGCGAUACACGCUCAAUAUCUUAUGGGCGUAAUCGUCGAUUUAGUACAAGAAAUCACAAGUGUAGUUGCGUGUUUCAAAAACGAAGAUGAAGGAGCGGAGGUGAAAGAGAACACAAACAAGAUUGCACCGUCUUUUUUGCUGAAUUUGGUAUCACAAGUGAUGCAGCAUUGAAGUUCGGUACGUUCGAGUUGGGUCGCGUCGGGUCGCGUCGGGUCAUUUGUUUAUUAAAUGUAUCCCGUGUGGGAAUUGAGUUUGGUUAGGAUGAUAAGUAGUGGAGUUUUGUUUUUCUUUAAUUUCUUGACCACUCAAAUGAAGCUGGUUAAAUUUUUCGCAUUUUUAUGUCAUUGAAUGACACUAUUUACUUAAGUUGUUAUUGUUAACAUCUAUGAAGACGUUUUUUAAUU